Molecule: ribosomal RNA, 492 nt
Filed under: uncultured bacterium
Lineage: Bacteria
Description: partial 16S ribosomal RNA
Rfam family: Bacterial small subunit ribosomal RNA
Source: RNAcentral
GAUGAACGCUAGCUACAGGCUUAACACAUGCAAGUCGAGGGGAAACGCCAUCGAAAGCUUGCUUUUGAUGGGCGUCGACCGGCGCACGGGUGAGUAACGCGUAUCCAACCUGCCCACCACUUGGGGAUAACCUUGCGAAAGUAAGACUAAUACCUACUGAUAUCCCACGAAGACAUCUGAAUGGGAUUAAAUAUUUAUCGGUGAUGGAUGGGGAUGCGUCUGAUUAGCUUGUUGGCGAGGUAACGGCCCACCAAGGCAACGAUCAGUAGGGGUUCUGAGAGGAAGGUCCACCACAUUGGAAACGCGACACGGUCCCAACUGCUACGGGAGGCAGCAGUGAGGAAGACUAGUCACUGGGCCAGAGCCUGACCAAGCCAAGUAGCGUGCAGGAAGACGGCCGUAUGGGUUGUAAACUGCUUUUAUAAGGGAAUAAAGUGGGUAACGUGUGACUUUUUGCAUGUACCUUAUGAAUAAGGACCGGCUAAUUCCGUG